GCCUACGGCUAUACCAGUCUGAAAGUGCCUGAUCUCGUCAGAUCUCAGAAGUUAUGCAGACUUGGGCAUGAUUAGUACUUGGAUGGGAGACCAACUAGGAACCUCAGGUGCCGUAAGCU
RNAcentral lists this ribosomal RNA (119 nucleotides) under Pelobates cultripes (western spadefoot toad). Lineage: Eukaryota; Metazoa; Chordata; Amphibia; Anura; Pelobatidae. The record is from RNAcentral.